GAAUGCUAAAAAUGGUGCCUGUCUCGGUCACUUUUCCCCUGGCGGGCAAAAUACCAAACACUUGAAAUUUUAAGGAAGAGAGGUUUAUUUUGGCCCAGGUUCUGUCCAGGGCCUGUUGUCUCCAAAGAAGGAGCAGCAAGGCGCAGAGGUGUGGUGGAGGAAAGCUGCUUGCUGGGUGUGGGGUGGACAGAAAGCAGAGUCCAGGGAGCAGCCGGGAGGGAACUAAACCACUCCCCACCCCCGUGAGCCGCCUGUUGCCAUCAGCAGCCAGCUGUGGAAGCGCUCUCUUGCUGCUGAGACUCUGUUCUCCACCUUGUAAACCAAGCCCAACUCGGCCUCCUGAAGGGUGAGAAUGCAUGGAGAGACAACCCUGGUUAUCCCGACCGUCCUGAGGGCCAGGUGGGGAAAGAACAUGAAGAUACUGAUUGUUCUGAAUCUCGCAUCAUCAGUUCACAAGACACCUGUGGUCUAUUGCCCAGCAAACCUCCAUCCCCGUUCUUCUCCAGAGAGCUCGUCACUCACAUCCACAGUGUUCUGAGAGAAGCCCUCUGCACAACCCAGCCCUACACCCUGGCCACAGUGUGCCCUGGUGGAGGGCAUCUGACUCAGGGGAACAGAGGCCUCAAUCUGCAGUCAAAGAAAAGAAAGAUGCUCAGAAAGGAACAGAGAAGAGAUGCAGACCAUAACAAAGACAACUGCUGUCUCAGCUGCUGCUGGCUACCAUCUCACCACCGUGAAAAACAGCAAGCCUGGGGACAAAAGCUGAGAUGAUGAGGAGGACAAAGCCAGGAGAAAGAGAAAAGGAGCCAGCACCCCCUCCACUGUCCCAUGGCCUUGCUGUAUGGGCUGGGUCUUUUCCUGUGUGAGAUAAGAUAGUAAAUUCCCCCAACUGUUUCAGUCACUUUGAGGGUCUCCCUUUUUUUCACAUGCAACCCAGACUCCUCAUCUUCAUCAUCAAACAUUUAGUUCAUAUCUCUUUUAUUAAGGUUUUUAAACUUUAAUUGAAAUGCUCAAUUUUAGAAUAUCUGACUCUUUUAAAAUUCUGUCUUUUUAAAAUAAUAUCCUACUCUUGCCUCAUGGAUUCUUUCAUUUCUGUCCUUGAAUAUUAAUGUGGGUUGUGAGCACAAUAAUAAUCUUUGGUUUGUUAUUGUUGUUGUUUUUGUUGUUUGUUUUCUGAGACAGGGUCUCCCUAUGUAGUUCAACCUGGCCUUGAGCUCUUGAACUUGCAGUGAUCCUCCUGUCUCAGCCUCCUGAGUGCUAGGAUUACAGGUAUGUGCCACC
Molecule: long non-coding RNA, 1281 nt
Filed under: Heterocephalus glaber (naked mole-rat)
Lineage: Eukaryota; Metazoa; Chordata; Mammalia; Rodentia; Bathyergidae
Description: lncRNA (ENSHGLG00000039529.1)
Source: RNAcentral